UGGGGAAUAUUGGACAAUGGGGGAAACCCUGAUCCAGCAAUGCCGCGUGGGUGAUGAAGGCCUUCGGGUUGUAAAGCCCUUUUGGCGGGGACGAUGAUGACGGUACCCGCAGAAUAAGCCCCGGCUAACUUCGUGCCAGCAGCCGCGGUAAUACGAAGGGGGCUAGCGUUGUUCGGAAUUACUGGGCGUAAAGGGCGCGUAGGCGGUCGUGCAAGUCAGAUGUGAAAGCCCUGGGCUCAACCCAGGAUGUGCAUUUGAUACUGCAUGGCUAGAGUGUCGGAGAGGAUGGUGGAAUUCCCAGUGUAGAGGUGAAAUUCGUAGAUAUUGGGAAGAACACCGGUGGCGAAGGCGACCAUCUGGACGACAACUGACGCUGAGGCGCGAAAGCGUGGGGAGCAAACA
RNAcentral lists this ribosomal RNA (402 nucleotides) under uncultured bacterium. RNAcentral describes it as "bacterial SSU rRNA". It matches the Rfam family "Bacterial small subunit ribosomal RNA", at positions 355 to 774 of the family's 1533-position model. The record is from RNAcentral.